AUACGGAGGGUGCAAGCGUUAUCCGGAUUCACUGGGUUUAAAGGGUGCGUAGGUGGUUUUGUAAGUCAGUGGUGAAAGCCUACAGCUUAACUGUAGAAUUGCCAUUGAUACUGCUUAACUUGAAUCAAGUCGAAGUGGAUGGAAUAGAUCAUGUAGCGGUGAAAUGCUUAGAUAUGAUUUAGAACACCAAUUGCGAAGGCAGUUCACUAGGCUUGUAUUGACACUGAGGCACGAAAGCGUGGGGAUCAAACAGGAUUAGAUACCCUGGUAGUCCACGCCCUAAACGAUGUAUACUCGACAUAUGCGAUACACUGUAUGUGUCCAAGCGAAAGCGUUAAGUAUACCACCUGGGAAGUACGUCCGCAAGGAUGAA
Molecule: ribosomal RNA, 373 nt
Filed under: uncultured bacterium
Lineage: Bacteria
Description: bacterial SSU rRNA
Rfam family: Bacterial small subunit ribosomal RNA
Source: RNAcentral